Non-coding RNA from Pelobates cultripes (western spadefoot toad), 204 nucleotides. The record is from the annotation of a GenBank genome assembly. Lineage: Eukaryota; Metazoa; Chordata; Amphibia; Anura; Pelobatidae.
UAACUGCACUCACUAGAAGGAAUUGAUUGCAGGCAUAUAUAAAAUUGCUGUUGGAGGAGCUUAGUCUUCUUUACUCUUGUCCUUAAAGGGAUUUAAGAGAAAGACACACACAUAGUGUACCAGUAAAAUAGUAAAACAAAAUUUAUUUAGAUUGCACUCACAAAAUUUCAAAGAAAGUCCAGUGUAUCACAACAAAUGUCUUGC